Molecule: ribosomal RNA, 379 nt
Filed under: uncultured bacterium
Lineage: Bacteria
Description: bacterial SSU rRNA
Rfam family: Bacterial small subunit ribosomal RNA
Source: RNAcentral
UGACACGUAGGCACCAAGCGUUGUCCGGAUUUAUUGGGCGUAAAGAGCUCGUAGGCGGUUGAGUAAGUCGGGUGUGAAAACUCUGGGCUUAACCCAGAGCCGCCACUCGAUACUGCUCUGACUUGAGUUCGGUAGGGGAGCAGGGAAUUCCUAGUGUAGCGGUGAAAUGCGCAGAUAUUAGGAGGAACACCGGUGGCGAAGGCGCUGCUCUGGGCCGAAACUGACGCUGAGGAGCGAAAGCGUGGGUAGCAAACAGGAUUAGAUACCCUGGUAGUCCACGCCGUAAACGUUGGGCACUAGGUGUGGGUUCCAACCAACGGAAUCCGCGCCGUCGCUAACGCAUUAAGUGCCCCGCCUGGGGAGUACGGCGGCAACGCUA